Non-coding RNA from Caenorhabditis japonica, 46 nucleotides. Lineage: Eukaryota; Metazoa; Nematoda; Chromadorea; Rhabditida; Rhabditidae. The record is from Rfam.
AAUUUGGCUCUUCUGAGAGCCAAACAACUUUUUAAAUAAUUCAUAU